Molecule: RNase P RNA, 367 nt
Filed under: Chloroflexota bacterium
Lineage: Bacteria; Bacillati; Chloroflexota
Description: Chloroflexi bacterium RNase P RNA component class A
Rfam family: Bacterial RNase P class A
About the family: Ribonuclease P (RNase P) is a ubiquitous endoribonuclease, found in archaea, bacteria and eukarya as well as chloroplasts and mitochondria. Its best characterised activity is the generation of mature 5'-ends of tRNAs by cleaving the 5'-leader elements of precursor-tRNAs. Cellular RNase Ps are ribonucleoproteins.
Source: RNAcentral
GGGGCAGACGGGAUGGUCGCGGCGACACGCGUUUGUCGCUGAGGAAAGUCCGCUCUCUAUAGGGCAUGGUGCCAGCUAACGGCUGGGCAGGGCAACCUGACGGAAAGCGCAACAGAGAGUAUAGCGCCAUCACAAGUGUGCAUGGUAAGGGUGAAACGGUGGUGUAAGAGACCACCAGCAUCGUUAGCAAUAACGGUGGCUAGGCAAGCCCCACCAAGAGCAAGGCAAAAUAGAUGAAUUGGGACUGCCCGUCCCGCAAAAAACAUCGGGUAUGCCGCACGAUGCGGUCAGCGAUGACCGUACCAGAUAGAUGACCAUCACAUCCUUCGGGAUUGUACAGAAAGCGGCUUAGAAGUCUGCCCCAUCG